GACGAACGCUGGCGGCGUGCUUAACACAUGCAAGUCGAACGGAAAGGCCCCUUCGGGGGUACUCGAGUGGCGAACAGGUGAGUAACACGUGAGUAACCUGCCCUUGACUUCGGGAUAACUUCAGGAAACUGGGGCUAAUACCGGAUAGGAAUCCUUGCUGCAUGGUGGGGGUUGGAAAGCUUCGGCGGUUUUGGAUGGACUCGCGGCUUAUCAGCUUGUUGGUGGGGUAGUGGCUUACCAAGGCUUUGACGGGUAGCCGGCCUGAGAGGGCGACCGGCCACAUUGGGACUGAGAUACGGCCCAGACUCUUACGGGAGGCAGCAGUGGGGAAUAUUGCACAAUGGGCGGAAGCCUGAUGCAGCAACGCCGCGUGCGGGAUGACGGCCUUCGGGUUGUAAACCGCUUUCAGCAGGGGCGAAGCUUGUGGUGACGGUACCUGCAGAAGAAGCACCGGCUAACUACGUG
RNAcentral lists this ribosomal RNA (465 nucleotides) under uncultured bacterium. Its description in RNAcentral is "partial 16S ribosomal RNA". It matches the Rfam family "Bacterial small subunit ribosomal RNA", at positions 28 to 507 of the family's 1533-position model. The record is from RNAcentral.